AAGAACAAAGGAAGAAAAGGGAAGAACAAAACCCUAGGUGGAAAAAUUCAAGAAAAAAGUGUGAAAAUUCAAGGAAACAAGUGAAAAAAGGUAAGAUUUUUUCAAUUAAGCUUGAGAUCUCUCUUUCUUAACAUUUUUUCUUAUUUUUCAUGGUUAAAUCACAUGAAAUCAUGAUGAAUCCCUUGCUGGCCGAACACUUAGAGGGAGGUUUUGAUGCUUGAUUUGGUUAGAUUUUAAUGUAUUUUAGUGUUUUUAGUUAGUUAGUGAUGUGUAGCAUGAAAAGCCAACAAGAAAAAUUCACUUCCUCCCAUCACCCAUCAUUGGUCGAAUUCUCCAUGUGGAAUAUUGAUGAUAAUUUUGAUUUUAUUUCAAGUGAUUUGGUUAGGAGUUAGUGAUUUAUGGUGGGAGAAUCAAGCUUGAAAAAUUAUAGUGUUGAUGCACCCACCAUGGCCGAAUUUUCUAAGAGAAAAUAUGAAAAUGAUUUUGCUAAAUUUUAUGCUAUUUGACUUGUGUUUGAUGGUUUGGAGAAUUGGAAGAAAAAUGGAGUUAUUUGGAGUUAAAUUGGACAUAUUGGCUAAUUAAUCGGGUGAUAGAUCGAAUUAGGCCAAUACCAUUUUAUUUAGGUACAUAAUUGAAUUUAUAUUGAACACCGUAUUUAGAUAGUUACCCGAGUAUUUCACAUCCCAUUUCAUGCAUUAGUAUAAAGCCUGAAUUGGUUUUACAACGAUUUAUCACAAAUGUAGUAAAUGGCUUAUUGUGCAUUAUGUCUAGGUGGUGAACUUUCUGGCAAAAGUAAAGAGAUAGUACUCGAGGAUCAAGAAUCGAAGUACUUGGAAUUCGAUUCCCAUUACAGUGAGUAACCUUGUUAUCGUCUUAAUUAUCUAAAGUAGUUUUUAUUAGUUUUUGUGAUUUGAUAAAAAAAUGAGUUUAAAUGGUAAAUCUUUAUGUUUUAUAAGUAAAAUGUGAAUAAAUGAAAUGAUUUUAUAAAUUGUCUUGAAAUUGAAAGAUGGUUUUGAAAAUGGAGUAAUUGGAGACUAAUUGUUGUGUUAUAAAUCAUGGUUUGAAUUGAAUGGCUUAUGAUAAUAUUUGCAUGAAUGGCUGAAUUGGUAUUUGUGUUGAAAAUGUAUGAACUGUUAAUUUGCCUUGAGAGGCUGUAAAAUAAAAUAAUUGCCAUGUCGUGUUAUCGCAAAUUUUAUUGUAUGGUGCGUUAUAAAUUGGUCGCUGCAGUGGACGGGUUCCGUGGACCAGCCUAUUAGAGGGGCACGGUAACCCUAUUAUAUUCAUACCUCAGUAUGAGAGGUGCAGUUGGAUAACUUUUGAGGUUAAAACUUUAGAGUUCACUUCACGCCAAACCACCACGUGAGGGUGAACUCAGCCAACGCCAAGGAACGAUUAUGUUUUCAAAAUAAAAAACAUGAUUUAUGCAUACAUGACUUUUUAACAGCCUUGGCGUACUCGGUUGGGAUAGCUCUCGGUUAAGGUAUCCUUGAUAACUGAGUAUGAGAAUGAUUUUGGCACGAGCCAAAGUUUUAAGAAAUUCAUAAGCCAUGUUGAUUACUCAAUUUAUAUGAAUUGAUUUUAUUUGGUUGAAAUGAGUUGAAAGGUGAUGAAUUACAAUAUGUUAAACUAUUUUAUUUGUCUCAAUUUACUCAGCUUUAGAUAUUUUAGAUGAUAUUUGUUUACUCACUGGGAUUAUAUAAUCUCACCACCCUCCUUUCCACCCAUUUUAGGCUCAGGAUAGUCGGUAAAUAGCUCAUUUCGUUGAGGGCUACAAUUGGACUUGCAUCCUCAAAAACUGUAGGUUUACCGCUUUUGAUACUUUUGGUCGUUCGUGGGCCCACGUGUCACUGUAAAUUAAAUCUUAUGCUUUGGUUAUCUGUAUUACAGUAUGUAUGAAUUUAUUUAGUUUUUACGCUAGAAAAAUUAUUUACUGAUAACUC
RNAcentral lists this long non-coding RNA (1940 nucleotides) under Theobroma cacao (cacao). RNAcentral describes it as "long non-coding RNA (TCAC_LNC005891)". Lineage: Eukaryota; Viridiplantae; Streptophyta; Magnoliopsida; Malvales; Malvaceae. The record is from RNAcentral.